Molecule: ribosomal RNA, 451 nt
Filed under: uncultured bacterium
Lineage: Bacteria
Description: partial 16S ribosomal RNA
Rfam family: Bacterial small subunit ribosomal RNA
Source: RNAcentral
GUGGGGAAUAUUGGACAAUGGGGGGAACCCUGAUCCAGCCAUGCCGCGUGUGUGAAGAAGGCCUUUUGGUUGUAAAGCACUUUAAGCGAGGAGGAGGCUACCGAGAUUAAUACUCUUGGAUAGUGGACGUUACUCGCAGAAUAAGCACCGGCUAACUCUGUGCCAGCAGCCGCGGUAAUACAGAGGGUGCGAGCGUUAAUCGGAUUUACUGGGCGUAAAGCGUGCGUAGGCGGCUUUUUAAGUCGGAUGUGAAAUCCCCGAGCUUAACUUGGGAAGUGCAUUCGAUACUGGGAAGCUAGAGUAUGGGAGAGGAUGGUAGAAUUCCAGGUGUAGCGGUGAAAUGCGUAGAGAUCUGGAGGAAUACCGAUGGCGAAGGCAGCCAUCUGGCCUAAUACUGACGCUGAGGUACGAAAGCAUGGGGAGCAAACAGGAUUAGAAACCCUGGUAGUCC